GACGAACGCUGGCGGCGUGCUUAACACAUGCAAGUCGAACGGUGAAGGGACCGGUUUUUGCUGGUUCUGGAUGAGUGGCGAACGGGUGAGUAACACGUGAGUAACCUGCCCCCUUCUUCUGGAUAACCGCAUGAAAGUGUGGCUAAUACGGGAUAUUCUGCGCCUGCUGCAUGGUGGGUGUGGGAAAGAUAUUGUUUCGGUGGGGGGUGGGCUCGCGGCCUAUCAGCUUGUUGGUGGGGUGAUGGCCUACCAAGGCGGUGACGGGUAGCCGGCCUGAGAGGGUGGACGGUCACACUGGGACGGAGACACGGCCCAGACUCCUACGGGAGGCAGCAGUGGGGAAUAUUGCACAAUGGGCGCAAGCCUGAUGCAGCGACGCCGCGUGAGGGAUGGAGGCCUUCGGGUUGUAAACCUCUUUCGCCAGUGAAGCAGGCCUGUCCCUUUUGUGGGUGGGUUGACGGUAGCUGGAUAAGAAGCGCCGGCUAACUACGUG
This 493-nucleotide ribosomal RNA is filed under the name uncultured bacterium. RNAcentral's name for it is "partial 16S ribosomal RNA". It matches the Rfam family "Bacterial small subunit ribosomal RNA", at positions 28 to 507 of the family's 1533-position model. The record is from RNAcentral.